This 31-nucleotide ribosomal RNA is filed under the name Hecastocleis shockleyi. RNAcentral describes it as "partial 18S ribosomal RNA". Lineage: Eukaryota; Viridiplantae; Streptophyta; Magnoliopsida; Asterales; Asteraceae. The record is from RNAcentral.
AGGAAUGCUACCUGGUUGAUCCUGCCAGUGU